Molecule: ribosomal RNA, 305 nt
Filed under: uncultured bacterium
Lineage: Bacteria
Description: bacterial SSU rRNA
Rfam family: Bacterial small subunit ribosomal RNA
Source: RNAcentral
UGGUCCUACGGGGGGCAGCAGUGGGGGAUAUUGCACAAUGGGGGAAACCCUGAUGCAGCGACGCCGCGUGGGCGAAGAAGUAUUUCGGUAUGUAAAGCCCUAUCAGCAGGGGAGAAGAAAUGACGGUACCUGAGUAAGAAGCACCGGCUAAAUACGUGCCAGCAGCCGCGGUAAUACGUAGGGGGCAAGCGUUAUCCGGAUUUACUGGGUGUAAAGGGAGCGUAGACGGCAGUGCAAGUCCGGAGUGAAAGCCCGGGGCUCAACCCUGGGACUGCUCUGGAAACUGUAAAGCUGGAGAGCGGGAG